This 154-nucleotide ribosomal RNA is filed under the name Ceriporia purpurea. RNAcentral's name for it is "5.8S ribosomal RNA". It matches the Rfam family "5.8S ribosomal RNA". Rfam says of the family: 5.8S ribosomal RNA (5.8S rRNA) is a component of the large subunit of the eukaryotic ribosome. It is transcribed by RNA polymerase I as part of the 45S precursor that also contains 18S and 28S rRNA. RNAcentral also lists the same sequence under 5 other names. Lineage: Eukaryota; Fungi; Basidiomycota; Agaricomycetes; Polyporales; Irpicaceae. The record is from RNAcentral.
AACUUUCAACAACGGAUCUCUUGGCUCUCGCAUCGAUGAAGAACGCAGCGAAAUGCGAUAAGUAAUGUGAAUUGCAGAAUUCAGUGAAUCAUCGAAUCUUUGAACGCACCUUGCGCUCCUUGGUAUUCCUUGGAGCAUGCCUGUUUGAGUAUCA